GACGAACGCUGGCGGCGUGCCUAAUACAUGCAAGUUGAGCGCUGAAGGUUGGUACUUGUACCAACUGGAUGAGCAGCGAACGGGUGAGUAACGCGUGGGGAAUCUGCCUUUGAGCGGGGGACAACAUUUGGAAACGAAUGCUAAUACCGCAUAAAAACUUUAAACACAAGUUUUAAGUUUGAAAGAUGCAAUUGCAUCACUCAAAGAUGAUCCCGCGUUGUAUUAGCUAGUUGGUGAGGUAAAGGCUCACCAAGGCGAUGAUACAUAGCCGACCUGAGAGGGUGAUCGGCCACAUUGGGACUGAGACACGGCCCACACUCCUACGGGAGGCAGCAGUAGGGAAUCUUCGGCAAUGGACGAAAGUCUGACCGAGCAACGCCGCGUGAGUGAAGAAGGUUUUCGGAUCGUAAAACUCUGUUGGUAGAGAAGAACGUUGGUGAGAGUGGAAAGCUCAUCAAGUGACGGUAACUACACAGAAAGGGACGGCUAACUACGUG
RNAcentral lists this ribosomal RNA (497 nucleotides) under uncultured bacterium. RNAcentral describes it as "partial 16S ribosomal RNA". It matches the Rfam family "Bacterial small subunit ribosomal RNA", at positions 28 to 507 of the family's 1533-position model. The record is from RNAcentral.